RNAcentral lists this transfer RNA (63 nucleotides) under Chaetocnema confinis. RNAcentral's name for it is "tRNA-Trp". The record is from RNAcentral. Lineage: Eukaryota; Metazoa; Arthropoda; Insecta; Coleoptera; Chrysomelidae.
AAGGAUUUAAGUUAAUGAAACUAUUAGCCUUCAAAGUUAAAAUUAGAAUUUUUCUAAGCCUUA